GCUCUUAGAGCAUCCGCAUUAACGGAUUUAAGAGGUUCAUGGGCUCGAAUUCCUAGGUCCGAAUUGAUAAAAGAAAAUGAAAAAUGCAUUUAAUUCGGUGAACCGAUUCUUCCCCGUGAACCUGAAGAGGGGAGUUCAAGCCACGCGUCGUGCUCUCAGUCGCCUGCUCCUCCAAAAGCACCUCUAAUCAAUGUCGACGGAACGAGAAGUAGUCUGUGUCACCGGCGCCAGUGGCUGCAUCGGAUCGUGGCUCAUACAUCUGCUCCUCCUCCGCGGCUACUCCGUUCACGCCACCGUGAAAAACCUCUAGGAUGAGAAAGAGACGAAACAUCUGGAAGCUCUCGAAGGUGCAUCCACGAGCCUCCAUCUGUUCGAGAUGGAUCCACUGAAUUACGAAACUGUUUCCGCCGCCGUCAACGGCUGUGCCGGCGUUUUCCACCUCGCACCUCCCUGUAUCGUCGACGAAGUCCAAGAUCCUCAGUUUGAAGAGAAAGAAAGAGCCUGAGCCUGAGCCUGUAUAUACACGUAUACAGUUGAACACAAGAAGAGCUCUCAGUUGUUUCUGACAAGUUAGCCAUUGAUUGUUUUGGUUCUAACAGGAUUGUUCCACCUCCUGGUGCUCUUUAUGAUCCUAUUGGCCCGGGUUUUGAGACUGGCCGAUUUGGGAGGGAAUCUCAAAGGAGCAGCCGAGGGGAUAUUCAUCCUGAUCUUCAGCAUUGUUCCCGCGGUUUUGGUUCAGAUUAUAUGUAGGUCAAAAGUAAAGCCAGCUCUGUUGGUAUGUAUACAUAUACAUGUGCGAACUAGACCUUUGUGGUAGAAUGAAUUGGAUCUUAGAUGUACUAGGUUGUGAUUGUUAUAUAUUUAUAUUGCAAGAUGACUUCGUUCA
Raphanus sativus (radish) is the source of this 886-nucleotide long non-coding RNA. RefSeq lists it as uncharacterized. The transcript is spliced from 4 exons. The record is from RefSeq and is a predicted model, not a curated record. NCBI's taxonomy places the organism in Eukaryota, Viridiplantae, Streptophyta, Magnoliopsida, Brassicales, Brassicaceae.